CUCCCCAAACCAGAACCCGAUCUCUCCCCAAACCAGAAUCCGUCUCCCUCUCCCUUUCUCGUCGUGACCCCAAUCACCGCCGCCCCAAACCCGACUCCCUCUCAGAUCGGCCAUCUCCUCUCUCUCAGAUCGGCCAUAUCCAAGCUCGUGACCCCAAGCACCGCCACGCCCAGAUCGAGAUCCCUAGCAUUGGGUCAAAACAAUUGCAUUCAGGGGGUCUGUCUGAAACAAUGGAACUACAGCAAAGUAAGUUCAAUUUGGCAAUAGCACUUGGAUCUAGCUAUAUGUAAUUAUACCAAAACUGCGAAAGGUAGCACAGAUGGAGCCAAGCAAGACUAUGUUCAUGUGAGAGCGCGACGAGGUUAGGAGAGAAAGGAUUAGCGAACGGAUGAAGUAUCUUCAAGACCUUGUGCCUGGUUAUAGUAAAGUCACUGGGUAGGCGGUAAUGCUUGAUGAGAUUAUCAAUUAUGUUCAAUCAUUACAACUGCAGGUUGAGUUCCUGUCUAUGAAGCUUGUGGCUGUUAAUCCAAGUAUUGAGUUAAACAUAGAACGACUUCUGUCUGAAAAUGUAAGUUCUCAUCUUUAAAUAUCAGAGUGAAUAAAUCUUGAGAUGCUGACCAAACAAACAUAUCUGUAACAUAAUAUCUAACUAGAGUAGAGUUGUUUGCACUAAAUAACUUUACCUCAUUUUUAUGUCGUAAAAUAGAGCGUGAUACAUAUCAAAAGUGUGGUUAGAGCAUGUGUGAACAACGUUUUUCUACACAUGUGCGAAUGUGUCGCAAAACUAACGACAUAUAUAUAUGUUGAAAGUGGUGACAAAUACAUGUGUCACAAAACUCUUGACACAUACAUAUGUCAAGAGUGGUGUCUCAUUCAGAGGGGUGUUAAAUGGGUGAGUUUGGGUAUUAAAUGGGUGGGCCAUAAAUGGGUGGGCAUGUUUUGCUCAUUUACCCAUUUAUGGCCCAUUUAAUAUUUUCUAAAUAGGCGGGUUUUUGCCCACCCAUUUAAUAAAGAGGUAACACAUGUUUCCAU
This is a long non-coding RNA of Asparagus officinalis (garden asparagus), 1032 nucleotides long. RefSeq lists it as uncharacterized. The transcript has 5 exons. The record is from RefSeq and is a predicted model, not a curated record. NCBI's taxonomy places the organism in Eukaryota, Viridiplantae, Streptophyta, Magnoliopsida, Asparagales, Asparagaceae.